This 383-nucleotide ribosomal RNA is filed under the name uncultured bacterium. Its description in RNAcentral is "bacterial SSU rRNA". It matches the Rfam family "Bacterial small subunit ribosomal RNA", at positions 355 to 762 of the family's 1533-position model. The record is from RNAcentral.
UGGGGAAUAUUGGACAAUGGGCGGAAGCCUGAUCCAGCCAUGCCGCGUGUGUGAAGAAGGCCUUUUGGUUGUAAAGCACUUUAAGCGAGGAGGCGUUACUCGCAGAAUAAGCACCGGCUAACUCUGUGCCAGCAGCCGCGGUAAUACAGAGGGUGCGAGCGUUAAUCGGAUUUACUGGGCGUAAAGCGUGCGUAGGCGGCUGAUUAAGUCGGAUGUGAAAUCCCUGAGCUUAACUUAGGAAUUGCAUUCGAUACUGGUCAGCUAGAGUAUGGGAGAGGAUGGUAGAAUUCCAGGUGUAGCGGUGAAAUGCGUAGAGAUCUGGAGGAAUACCGAUGGCGAAGGCAGCCAUCUGGCCUAAUACUGACGCUGAGGUACGAAAGCAU